UGAUGAAUAUUUGUGACCGUCAGAUCCACAAUAUAUCCAAUGGUCGUGGAUAUUCGAAUCAAGUUAACCUAUUUAGCCGGUAACUGGUUCAUAUGAUAUGCCACCACGACUCUCUCUCUCUCUCUCUCUCUCUCUGCGUGACUCUGCCUCCCCACUGCUCAUCCAGUCGUCUUCAGCCUCCAGCCCACGGGUUCUCUCUGUGCGGCAAAGACCCUCUCCGUCUCAGCGUGUCUCCUCGAUCGUUGAGGCGUCGAUGGUGACGAACUAACGGUGGUAACUCGGCUCUUACUUUUCAAUCGAUCUGUAUCACAUGAACAUCUCGACUACUUUCUGGGUUUUCAGUCGAAUAGCCUCGAAGUCUUGAACUUGGUUGCUCUCUUCCUCAAGCAGCAAAGCAGAUAGCCUGAAACAAGCUUGAGUAAAGAUUGAUUCUUUUCUCAUGUAAAUUGAGGGGAUUGAUGGGAGUUUGAAGAAAUGGGGUUUUUGUUGUCAGUUAAAACGGGCUGUGUGUCCUGCUGAACAAAGUUUGAGUCUUUUCUCAUGUAAAUUGAGAGCCCUGAAGGGAAUUUGAAGAGAUAGAACAGGUAUACGUUCUAUUUUGAUUUGAGAGGCUGGGCUAGAGUUGAUUUGAGAUUUGGUGAAGGUGGUCUCUCUUUCUUCUCUUAAUUGAUCGCUCGUCUCCUAAUUUGAUUGUUCAUAGUGAUACUGAAGGUUGGGCUAAAUGAUGAGCAGUUUGAUUUCGUAGUAUAUGUAAAAUUUAACCAAAGAAUGUUUGAGUUUGAUUUGUAAUUUGCUUGAUUGAGUUUGAUUCGUAAUCGAAGCUGUUUGCUCAAAUAUCUGCAGUCUAGUAACUUUCAGCAGCUUGAUUUGGUGUUUACUUGUACAUAUUUGUGAUAUAUGAUUCAUAAUCCAUGAUAUAUAUUAGCUUUCGGGAAAUCUCUGGUUAGCUUCUCAUAUAUAUUGAUCAAAUGGGUAGAACCAAAUAGGGGUACUGCUUGUGUGAUUUAUCUGAUUAGCUUUGCUAGGUAGUAGGGUAAACUUUUGAAAUUUGUACCUUGUUGGUGUUCAAUUUUGGUUGCUCUGCCGUUUUUGCUGUGUUGAUUUGUAAUCCCUGUGUUGGAUCGCUGGUUUUGUGGUGUUAGUAUGUAGUCAUGUGUAGGCACAGCUUUCUGGGUUUUUGUGUAAGUUUUUGCAGCUGAUUAGCUAGUUCAAAUUUUUUGGCUUUUUUGGUUUAAGGAACUUCUUCUCUCACUUUGUUUGAGGGAUUUAUUUUUUAAGUUUUUGUGUGUUUGAUGGAAAUCAAAUGUAUAGUAGAUUUUGAGAAUUGCUCAGUUUUCCACUAUUCUGUGCAGAAAAUUGAUUUUAGUGGAAGGAAAGAGAAUCGAAAUUUUGAGAUUUGGUAUGGAUGUAGUUUAGGAGUCAUGUUCAUAUGUUGGAAUUUUGUCAUGUUUAGAUGCAUUUUCCAUUUUCUGAACUAUUCUUGGAAACUUUUGGGUCAACUAUAAACUCAAUUAUUGGAAACACAAGUGUGUUCUUCUUUUCCUAUUAUGUUUGAUUAGUAUAUGGUUAGGUGAGUAGCGUUAGCCUUAAUAUACCGUAUUUUUAUUACAAUAAAAAGGAACAGGCACCUUUUUAUUAUAAUCAGUAUGUUGAGGAGUUGAGACUGAAUGAUUGUUUCCCACUUUUCUUUUAUUUUUCUUCUCUAAUUACAUGAACUGUUGCUAUUGCUCUGAGAUUUUUGCUAUCCUUAUUCAUGAAAAUGCAGAUUCCUUCUGGCAAGUAUUUAUGUUUGAAGUAACUAGCUAAGUCAACUCAGUCAAAUUUAGCCUACUGUCCAAAUUGAGUUUUGUAUAGCUAGAGCACUCAGCUGCGUAGCUUUUCAAUUACAAUGAUAUCUUCUUUUAGUCAGGACCUGCUAUGUUCUUACAUAUUUAUGAUGGAAGUAUUUAUAGUUCGUGAUUUGUAUGGUGCUGCUA
Long non-coding RNA from Rosa chinensis, 1976 nucleotides. RefSeq lists it as uncharacterized. The record is from RefSeq and is a predicted model, not a curated record. The transcript is spliced from 2 exons. NCBI's taxonomy places the organism in Eukaryota, Viridiplantae, Streptophyta, Magnoliopsida, Rosales, Rosaceae.